Ipomoea nil (Japanese morning glory) is the source of this 95-nucleotide small nucleolar RNA. It matches the Rfam family "Small nucleolar RNA R24". From Rfam's summary of the family: snoR24 is a C/D box small nucleolar RNA which acts as a methylation guide for 18S ribosomal RNA in plants. Lineage: Eukaryota; Viridiplantae; Streptophyta; Magnoliopsida; Solanales; Convolvulaceae. The record is from Rfam.
GCUGCAGUGAUGAGGUGCUAACAUGUAAGAAGAUCUCUAACUUUGUGUUGGAAUCUUCAAUGAAAUUUUCUUGUUACGCUUGGCUUCUGAGCACA